Molecule: long non-coding RNA, 1170 nt
Organism: Drosophila persimilis
Lineage: Eukaryota; Metazoa; Arthropoda; Insecta; Diptera; Drosophilidae
Exons: 2
Source: RefSeq, a predicted model, not a curated record
UGAUUAUUUUGUGUCUUGUUGUGUGUGUUUUUUCAUGACGUUCCCAGAUAUUGGAGGUCCGGGUGCACCGUGGUGGUAUUGAUAUCGGUAGUAUCCAGAGUGGGCCCCAAUGGCACGAACAGGCAGCCCCCACUUGGCACGGAUCGUAGUUAUGCUCACGGCCUACGUUAUGGCCAUGUGGUUCCUGGCCACCUUCACUGAGAAGCGGCUCGAGAUGAGGAGAAACUUGGGAUCUGAGACCUUAACUGCGAUAUGUCGUCACUCCUAAAUGAGAGUUUACACGAGAGAUCUUCCUUGUCAGACCCACCAAUGCGUCUUUCUUUCUCAUGAUAAAACCCCAAAACUUUCUUGCAAGCCUCUGAAAAUAGAGCCAUCCACAGCCACUCAGCAUCCUCACCCAAGAGCCUCUGAAGAUGCGAGGGAUCUCUACCAGAAGAUUGACCAAUUGUCACCUGCACUGUCGGUCCUUGAGGGUCCAUAGGGGGCAAUCCUGUUCGUUCGCGUGCAAUUUGAUAAGGAUCGACUGCGGUGAAUUGGAUGAGUAACAUGGGAUCGGCGGAUAGAACCCUGACGUUUGGAUUCGACGGCAGACUAGAUCCAAGGUUCACUGUAAAUGCUCCGAGCCACAUAGCCACAGUGCCUAUAGGGAAGAUCCGAGCCAAAUGGAAACUGCUCGUUCAUGCCAUUGAGGAUCGUUCCUAGGUGGUUCCUUCGCUGGAUAUAAUAUCAUUAUUGUUGUCGAGCACUGCUGGCUGGAUACUGAGCCAGCUGACGAUUGUCUUGAUCAGCUCGUGAGACAGCUUCCCAAAAGGACAGGAAACGGAAGGGAUCGCCCUUGGAUGGUCCUCUGGUACUCAGGCAAUCAAUUGGCGAACCAUUCGGAAAUUUGAGAUUUUGCGCAGACAAACAAACCGUCAAAAUCGAAAAUAUAAAUCCCACAGAUGUGAGACAAACGGAUUAACAAGAAAACACACGGAAACAGAGCUGUACAGUGAGAACUUCGUUCCUAAUCAUCAGCUUCCUGCGAGUCCUUUUCGGACUGACAGCGAUAUGCCAAAGGAUGGAUCUUGAAGCCAUAGAGUCUGUGGAUCGAAAGGGGCCCAAACUGGACACAAUACGCAUCCGUUAUGUACUAUAUAUUUUUUAUAAAAGGAAACGGAAACAGAAACA